UCCCAGACUCCUACGGGAGGCAGCAGUGGGGAAUAUUGCACAAUGGGGGAAACCCUGAUGCAGCAACGCCGCGUGGGUGAAGAAGUAUUUCGGUAUGUAAAGCCCUAUCAGCAGGGAAGAGAAUGACGGUACCUGACUAAGAAGCCCCGGCUAACUACGUGCCAGCAGCCGCGGUAAUACGUAGGGGGCAAGCGUUAUCCGGAUUUACUGGGUGUAAAGGGAGCGUAGACGGCAGCACAAGUCUGGAGUGAAAUGCCGGGGCUUAACCCCGGAACUGCUUUGGAAACUGUAUGGCUGGAGUGCAGGAGAGGUAAGCGGAAUUCCUAGUGUAGCGGUAAAAUGCGUAGAUAUUAGGAGGAACACCAGUGGCGAAGGCGGCUUACUGGACUGUAACUGACGUUGAGGCUCGAAAGCGUGGGGAGCAAACAGGAUUAGAUACCCUGGUACC
This 448-nucleotide ribosomal RNA is filed under the name uncultured bacterium. Its description in RNAcentral is "bacterial SSU rRNA". It matches the Rfam family "Bacterial small subunit ribosomal RNA", at positions 329 to 794 of the family's 1533-position model. The record is from RNAcentral.